Long non-coding RNA from Mobula hypostoma (lesser devil ray), 4032 nucleotides. RefSeq lists it as uncharacterized. Lineage: Eukaryota; Metazoa; Chordata; Chondrichthyes; Myliobatiformes; Myliobatidae. The record is from RefSeq and is a predicted model, not a curated record. The transcript is spliced from 3 exons.
CAGUCACCCAGGUACCUGUCUCCUGUAUCUAUCUCGUCCUCAUUCUCCUGUAUGAGCCAAAGGUUCUCGAGCUGAAGGUCUCGUUCCUGAACACUGUCUCGAAGGAGCUGCAGUUCGAUGCACUUCAUGAAGGUAUACAAUAGGAAAGGCAAAAGGAGAAGAAAGUCAUUUGGUCACCUCUCCCCGUAUUCAGCAAACCAGAGCUUGGAGACAAUCAUGAUUUGAACAGCCUAAAUACACCGCUGUACAGCUGGUUGCUGAACUUCCGAACCAACAGACCUCAGACAGUUAGGAUGCACAACUGCACUUCCCUCUCCUGUCACCCUCAACAUGGGUGCCCCCCCCCCAGGGGUGUGAGCUGAGCCUAUUGCCGUACUCUCUGCUGACACAUGACUGCACGGCCAACACCUGAGUGAUCACAUUGUCAAGUUCACCAGUGACGUGACAAUGGUGGGGCUUAUCAGCUACUUUAGAUGGCUUACAGAGAGGAGGUGGAAGAGCUAGAGGCCUAGCGCCAGGCCAAUAACCUCUUCCUCAAUGUCAACUCAAAGGAUAGUUAUCCACUUUAGAGAACUCGCAUCACUCACACACCCCUUGGGAGUGCACAUCUCACACAACCUCUUAUGGUCUCCAAACACAUUCUACACAAUCAGGAAAGCUCACCAACACUUCUACUUCGAGGAGACUAUGCACAUCUAUACUCACAUCAUUCUAGAGAUGUGCAGUACAGAGCUGCAUCACUGGAGGGCGCUACACAAGGUAGUCAAAACUACUCAAAGCAUCACUGGCACCAGCCUACCGACCACCAAGGACACGCAGUAUAUACAGAAAAGUGCCAGAAAAAGCCACUAACAUCAUGAAGGAUCGCACAAACCCUGCCCAUGGACUGUUUGUCCUACUCCCAUCCAGGAGGUGGCUACAUAGCAUCCACACCAGGACUCAAAAACAGUUACUUUCCCCAUGCAGUAAGGCAAAUCAACAACUCCACCCACUAAUUCACCUCUCUGAAUUCUCCACCACCACUACUUUAUGAUUUUCUGUCUGUCACCUUAUGUAUAGAUACUCUUGUGCCAAAUAUCACUGUAUGCACAUACAACCAAUGUAUGUAAUUAAUCUUGUAUUCUUGCAUUUAUUGAGGUUUUGUAUUAUCUGGAAUAACAAUUAUUUUGCUCUCCGUUACACUUUUGAGAAGUGUCAGUUUUAGCUUUAUAAAUAUAUUGCAGCUCAUGUAAGCAGACAGGCUUUGUGUUGUGUGCCAUCUUUCCACAUUACUUGUUUGCCAUUGAUAUUCCCAAAUUUUAGGGUUAGGCGGGAUUUUCCAGCAGUUUGGAAUUAUUCAGCCUGCUUUGUAACAACUCAAAAGUUAUGUGAACUACCAUAUGUUCUAAUAGAUUAUUUUUAGAUUUGUAACUUGACAGCCAAUAGGCCAAACAGGGCCAGACCACAGCCAACAGUGAAACUGGUAGACUAUCAAUUCAAUAAUUCACUCGAGCAUCUUCUGUACUUUAGUCUGUACCAUCCACUUUGCUGAUGGCAGGUCCUGUUACUAUAAAAGCAAGUAAAUUAAUUAUGUUUAGCAGAAAACAAUUAUCCUGUUCUUUUAAUAUUUAAUAUCUUGAUAAAAUUGAUCUUUCAUUUUGUGUAUUAAAAAACCCUUGUCUUUUAGCUCCUUUCACAAUUACAUACUCCAGCCCAGAGCCUUUAAUUGUGGAGUAUCUUACGGUAUUGGAUGCAGCCAUUAAUAUAUUGUGACACUUACAAAUCCAUAGGCUUCUAUCCUGCAGACAUGAUCACACAGUAAUCAAUAUGCCAGUGUAAGCACGGAAUGCAUUCCAGCUAGCAAUACCUUAUCUGAAAGCAAGUCAAUGGUUAAAUACAAAUGAGCAGGCUGCUGGAUAUGCUAAUGGAAUUGGCAUACUGGCAAGAGAAAACAGUGAACAAAAAUUAUAAAGUGUAAAUGAGCAGAAAACAUCCUUACUAACGUAGAGGAGAUGCUUCAUUAGAACAAGUACAAAACUAUUUAAUGAUCUACAGCACAGUGGUAACAAAAAAACAAUCCACACAAGAACAUGGAUUUGGAAAAUCAUUAAUUUUCAGCAACAUGCAGUUGAAGUACUUUAUAUGUAAAUGCUGGAAUUUUGCACAAUUGAUGCAGUUUGAAAAUGCAAUUUUGAACUUCUAUGCUGGUUUAAUGUUGGGUGCAUAGGACACAGACAAAAUAAAAUCUAAUGUACAAUUAUUUAGUUGAAAUUGGGAUUUUAUUUGCUUUAGAAACUUCAAGGGAUGCUCUCAGAGAACCAGCCUUUCAUAGCAGCUGCACCAUUUAAAACGGGGGUUCCCACCCUGGGGUCCACAGACACUUUGCUUAAUGGUAUUGGCCCAUGGCAUUAAAGAAAAGCUCUGAACCCCUGAUUUUAAAGGACUUCUCAGACACACUUCUCAGUUCAUUGCCCCAAGAAGAAUGUUGAAUCUUGUCACAACUAUAGAAUAAGUAAGGGCUUUGAGGGAAACAAGAGGAAUAGGGGCUGCAGACAAUAUCCCCAAGUAUGCAGAGAGCUAUACUCCUGAGUUCCCUAGGAAGCAACAUAUCAGGAGGUUAAUGUUCUUUGUAAAAUAUUCUCAGCAGCAGCAUCUGUUUUGUGCCAAUGUCCCAGUUUGCUGAACACUGCUGUUUAAGGAGGUUGCUGUCCAUCUUUCAAAAAGUGGCUUCCCCUUUCUGCAAGUAGAGACCCAGAUCUUCCAGACUUUUAAGGAGUGACAGAUCACUCACACGUGGUGUUUCAGGCUCUGAAAAUCUGGAGGCCCACAUAAAUUGUCACUCCCUGAAGUUUCAACAUAACAGGGAAAAUUCUCAAGGUCAAUGCAAUGUAUCCAAGGAGCUUACAAAAAUACACCUUUGGUGGGAGCCAGAUUGGCUGCUGCAUUCUAGUAAGAUUGCAACACACUCAGAUGCGACAGCCAGUCUGAGUCCAACCAAAGGUGUAUUUCUUCACCCUGAAUGUCUCCUUCAAUGAUUGCAAGUCACGGCUGGAUACUAAGAACAUCAAGUACUGCGGGACUAUUCCAUCAGCGAAUUGCUCGAUAGUGGUAGAGCUGGACUUAUUGCGUACUGUGGUGCAGAGACAUUGCACAGUCCAGAGGAAAAAUUAGUAAUUGUCAUGAAUGUUUUUGAGGUCACAAGACCCUGUUGGACAUUGGUAACAAAAUACUGGAAGUUCGGUUCACUCUCUCAUUGGUGAGACUGAGUUGCAUUGCCUCAAUUGCAUGGAUAAGAUCCUAAAACCUCAUAGUCACCUGUGGUGGUCACAAGCAAAAGAGACAAUGGAGCUGGCUGCCCUCCAGUGUUUGCUCACUGGAUGAACAAGCUGGACCAGGACAACUCAGGGACUUCAGCUAUAUUUUUUUUUGCUCUUUGCUAUUUAUACUAUGUGCAGGGUGUUGUGUGCUGUUGGUAAUGUGUUUUGCACCUUGGUUCUGCAGGAAAGCCAUUUCAUUUGACCAUAUUCAUGUUUGGUUGAAUGAUAAUUAAACAUAUAUUUAAUCUCAGGCAGUAUUAUGAGAACCAUAUUUCAUACUGCAGCGCUGAUAUGAAUUAGUCAGCCAGUAUCAGUAUUGCAGCAGCCACAAUCAUUACCCAUGUAGUAGAAAACCAAUUACAUGCAUUUUCAAUAGCACUGUAAGUAUUCCAGUUGCCUACAAAAAAGUAGGAAGCAGCGUGGGUUAACAGCCCCUACUUAGGGGAGUUUAACUUCUCAGACAGCCACAAUUUUAAAAAGGUAAUCUGCUCUUUUAAAGAUUAAUGGCCAAAAUACCAAAACAUAAAGGACUCUGAGACUUAUAAAGUUGAACAAGAGGAGCGAAAGAAUAAAUUCAAAUUUGCAGUCAGUUGUCACUAACGAGUAGGGAGAGUAGGACUACUGGAAGUUCUCUUUUUAUUUAUCUAUUCAGAAUAGAUUUUUAAACCUCUCAAACCCUAGGAUUGCAAUAGUGCAGCACAGUUUACCCAAUAACUUGAAAAGCCCAUCUGAUGAA